ACGCACGCUGGCGGCAUGCCUAACACAUGCCAGUCGAACGAGACCUUCGGGUCUAGUGGCGCACGGGUGCGUAACGCGUGGGAACCUGCCCUUAGGUUCGGAAUAACUCCCCGAAAGGGGUGCUAAUACCGGAUAAUGUCUUCGGACCAAAGAUUUAUCGCCUUUGGAUGGGCCCGCGUUGGAUUAGCUAGUUGGUAGGGUAAAAGCCUACCAAGGCGACGAUCCAUAGCUGGUCUGAGAGGAUGAUCAGCCACACUGGGACUGAGGCACGGCCCAGACUCCUACGGGAAGCAGCAGUGGGGAAUAUUGGACAAUGGGCGAAAGCCUGAUCCAGCAAUGCCGCGUGAGUGAUGAAGGCCUUAGGGUUGUAAAGCUCUUUUACCCGGGAUGAUAAUGACAGUACCGGGAGAAUAAGCUCCGGCUAACUCCGUG
RNAcentral lists this ribosomal RNA (432 nucleotides) under uncultured bacterium. Its description in RNAcentral is "partial 16S ribosomal RNA". It matches the Rfam family "Bacterial small subunit ribosomal RNA", at positions 29 to 507 of the family's 1533-position model. The record is from RNAcentral.